CGUGUGCUACUGUGAUAGGCUAAUCGAGUCAAAGCACCUCUCCCUUUUGAAUAUAUUCCAUGAUUAAAUCACACUCCUUCAGAGCAUGCAUGAUGGGUCUCCACUGAUAUGAUCCAUAGCCAAGCAUUAACUUAUCUGUAGUCCGUUUUCUUUCAGGUGACAUGGAGGAUGACAGCACUUACAUUGCACCUUCACCACAUCUCACUCAGCCUUAUAGAUAGGCAGGACUCAGCAACCCCAGGCUGCAAAUGACAAUACUGAAUCACAAAAGGAAGAGCAGUCACACCUAACAAGAGCCAAAUUACGCAUACUGGUACAAAGAAGAAAGUGCAGAGAGCAGUCACUGAGCUCUUGAAGCCUCCUUCAAUACAAGGUGGAAAGGGUGAAUGGACACCAGGCUCAUCUCCAUCUACAGCACGAUCAUACUGUUACAUGAUGCAGUGGAGUAUAUUCGAGCGAUGCAAGUGAAGUUCUUUGUGAUCCUGGGAUAGGAAGGGCUGCGGAAACUGCUUUCCUAAGCUUGUUGACAGACACUAAAGGAUUCACACUUCUCUUU
This is a long non-coding RNA of Pseudopipra pipra, 556 nucleotides long. RefSeq lists it as uncharacterized. Lineage: Eukaryota; Metazoa; Chordata; Aves; Passeriformes; Pipridae. The record is from RefSeq and is a predicted model, not a curated record. The transcript is spliced from 3 exons.